GAUUGAACGCUGGCGGCAUGCUUUACACAUGCAAGUCGAACGGCAGCGCGGGCUUCGGCCUGGCGGCGAGUGGCGAACGGGUGAGUAAUACAUCGGAACGUGCCCAGUAGUGGGGGAUAGCUCGGCGAAAGCCGGAUUAAUACCGCAUACGACCUGAGGGUGAAAGCGGGGGAUCUUCGGACCUCGCGCUAUUGGAGCGGCCGAUGGCAGAUUAGCUAGUUGGUGGGGUAAAGGCCUACCAGGGCGACGAUCUGUAGCUGGUCUGAGAGGACGACCAGCCACACUGGGACUGAGACACGGCCCAGACUCCUACGGGAGGCAGCAGUGGGGAAUUUUGGACAAUGGGCGAAAGCCUGAUCCAGCAAUGCCGCGUGUGUGAUGAAGGCCUUCGGGUUGUAAAGCACUUUUGGCGGGAACGAAAAGGACUGUGCCAAUACCACGGUUCGAUGACGGUACCCGCAGAAUAAGCACCGGCUAACUACGUG
This 485-nucleotide ribosomal RNA is filed under the name uncultured bacterium. RNAcentral's name for it is "partial 16S ribosomal RNA". It matches the Rfam family "Bacterial small subunit ribosomal RNA", at positions 27 to 507 of the family's 1533-position model. The record is from RNAcentral.